CUGCUAUUGUAGGUGUCUCCAAGACAUCGGCUUCAGGUUUUGUGUCGGCUUCAGGAUAGAUCUCCAUCACAGGCACAUCAGUUUAAACAGGUUUCUCCGCAUCCAUCAGGUAAUCAGAGGAUCCAAGCUCCGACUCUCCAGAUUCCGAUCCAGGAUCCGAAACCGGUCCUUGAUUCUCAUCAGGUAAUCAGAGGAUCCAAGCUCCGACUCUCCAGAUUCCGAUCCAGGAUCCGAAACCGGUCCUUGAUUCUCAACCAGAACCUCGCUGCCGAUGAAGACUCUGCUGGUUCCGCCGCCGCCGCCUAAACUAUUAAAAAAUCAAAAAUCAGAUUCGAAACCAAAAAAAAAAAGAAAGAAACUCAGAUUCGGACAAGAACAAACAUA
RNAcentral lists this long non-coding RNA (384 nucleotides) under Brassica napus (rape). RNAcentral describes it as "long non-coding RNA (BNAP_LNC004710)". Lineage: Eukaryota; Viridiplantae; Streptophyta; Magnoliopsida; Brassicales; Brassicaceae. The record is from RNAcentral.